UACGUAGGGUGCAAGCGUUGUCCGGAAUUAUUGGGCGUAAAGCGCGCGCAGGCGGUCCUUUAAGUCUGAUGUGAAAGCCCACGGCUCAACCGUGGAGGGUCAUUGGAAACUGGGGGACUUGAGUGCAGAAGAGGAAAGCGGAAUUCCACGUGUAGCGGUGAAAUGCGUAGAGAUGUGGAGGAACACCAGUGGCGAAGGCGGCUUUCUGGUCUGUAACUGACGCUGAGGCGCGAAAGCGUGGGGAGCAAACAGG
This 253-nucleotide ribosomal RNA is filed under the name uncultured bacterium. RNAcentral describes it as "partial 16S ribosomal RNA". It matches the Rfam family "Bacterial small subunit ribosomal RNA", at positions 524 to 776 of the family's 1533-position model. The record is from RNAcentral.